Molecule: ribosomal RNA, 347 nt
Filed under: uncultured bacterium
Lineage: Bacteria
Description: partial 16S ribosomal RNA
Rfam family: Bacterial small subunit ribosomal RNA
Source: RNAcentral
CCUACGGGCGGCAGCAGUCGAGAAUCAUUCACAAUGGGGGAAACCCUGAUGGUGCGACGCCGCGUGGGGGAAUGAAGGUCUUCGGAUUGUAAACCACUGUCAUGUGGGAGCAAAUUAAAAAGAUAGUACCACAAGAGGAAGAGACGGCUAACUCUGUGCCAGCAGCCGCGGUAAUACAGCGGUCUCAAGCGUUGUUCGGAAUCACUGGGCGUAAAGGGUGGGUCGGCGGUUUCGUAAGUCGUGUGUGAAAGGCGCGGGUUCAACCCGCGGACGGCACAUGAUACUGCGGGACUAGAGUAAUGGAGGGGGAAGCGGAAUUGUUGGUGGAGGAGUGAAAUGCGUAGAUA